Zonotrichia albicollis (white-throated sparrow) is the source of this 2035-nucleotide non-coding RNA. The record is from RefSeq and is a predicted model, not a curated record. Lineage: Eukaryota; Metazoa; Chordata; Aves; Passeriformes; Passerellidae.
GCGAAGGUGGUGGCGGAUGAAGGAUGGAGGAUUUCCCAGGGCUCCAGCUUGGGGCAGAUGCUGCCCGCGGCUAAGGCAGGACUGGAAACAGGCUGAUGUGUUCUGGGAGUGGGGAGCCGUGCUACAGGCCUGCAUCCUCUGCCCUGGAAAGCUGCCAAAGGGAUGCUGCCAGAGAAAUAUGAAAAAUGAUGCCGUGCCACGUGAAGUAGUGUUUUACAUAACAAAUCCAUUAAAUACCUAGCUCCUACUGGUGAAGUGAAGUAUUCCAGUAAGGAAAGGAAAGGAUACCCGAGUGGCUGUUGCACUAAGGGGAGUGAAAUUCAAAAGUGUUUUCUGUUUAUAUACUUUGGACCUAUGAAGCCCAGGAGAAGCACUUGGAGCUGCAUCUGGAUAGCCCACGUCAGCAAUGAGGAAAUUGUCAUUAUAGGUAUAAUGAUACUUUUAAUUAUGCAAAAGGUCUAUGUGCUUAGAAAGUUCUGUGUGCAGGUUGGAUAAAUUCAUGUAUUUUAUAGGAUGUGCAGGGCCACAGGCAGAGAAGCUCCUUUGGGAACCCUAUCUAAGUUUUCAAGAGCUUAGGUUACCUGAUUUCAAUAACACAGAUAGUGGAGAAAUAGGAAUGUUCUCUCUUUUUUGAUUCUGUAUUAUAGCCUGAUACUUCUUUUUCUAAAUCUCCAAAUCUCUUUGCUCUGGCAAAUGCCUUGUACUAAAGUCUUCCACUUUCUCAGCAUGAUAUGUGAAUAUUAGGCUCAUACAAAAGGCACUUCCCACCAUGAAGUUACAACUUUUGAACUCACCUCCAUCUGCUUGUACUGUACAUUAUAUGUGAAGUAACAGUUUCUAGAGGGCAAAGAGACACAUUUUAACAGUGAUAUUUUCUUCCAUGCAGAGGCCAUCCGGCUACAUGUCGUACCUUUCCAUGAAAUUUAAAAAUGCUUAUUUUUAAAACAAUUGAAAGACUCCAUUUAAAAAAUAUAAAUACAGUAAGACAGUAUUCCCUUGUCAUUUCUGUGUUUACCCUAUUUAUUUCUUAAGAACUGUGAUUAUGGCUUAGUACAAGCAAAAUGGAAUUGUGGCUCUGAUGUGUUUUGUUUGUAAUUUCAGCCUGUGUUCUCAUAAAUUGGGAAGUUCAUCCCUGCAGUCUGCCAGCCUCUGAAAGUAAAUGGGGGGUGCAUGCAGAUACACAGAAUUCCUCACAGGCUGAACCAUUUGGACUGUGAUCAGCAUGAUGCUGGCUGAUGCAGCCCUGAGGUGCUAACCAAACUACCUGUUUUUCUUCUAACUGCUCUUCUUCUGGAUCUUACUGUUCUUACUACUAGCUGUUGGACAGGAAUGCUUACAGGCUUAUCAACUCAGGCUCCCUUCCACAUGCCGGUACCUAACUCAUCUGGGCAUCAAGGGGACCUUGAAAAAAGAAAGCUUCCUUGUAUGGUGAUUUGUGAAUUUUCAUCUCUCACAUUUAAGCUGCUGUUCUGCAGCAUGGGGAAGGGAAUCAUGGAUUCUUCCUUUGCUGGAGUAUUACUAAUCAUACAGAAGAGCCAAUAUGGCUGAGAUUCAAAUCUGUGGGCGAAAUCAGUCUCUGAUAUAACUAUUCAUCUCAGCAAAAUUGCAGCAGGCUUGAUUAAAAUUAUCAUGACUGGUAAAUGUAAAGUACCUUAAUUUUUAGACUGCAGUCACAUAGUCUUAUGCACUUACACUCAUUUUUGUUCAAAUGAGACAUUUGGUAGAAAUUCAUUGUUACAAACACAUAUACAUGAUUUCUCAAAAUUCCAUACAAUUUGUUCAGAAAUCUUUCAAUAUGACUUUGUUCUAUUCAGCACUUUCCUUGCACUAUGCAAUAUCAGAUGGCUCUUGCCAGCCUUUUUUAUUUUCCCUCAAGUACUAUACUUUCUAAAAACAUUUUCUGUUUCUUCCUAUGGCUGAUACCUGAGGGAUCUGCAUCUACUCCAGCAGCGAACAGGAACCUGAAGAAACCUAUGCCACCAAGCAACAGUUUCAAAUCACAGUCCCGAUGUAACAAUCAUUUCUGUAUUACAUG